RNAcentral lists this ribosomal RNA (427 nucleotides) under uncultured bacterium. RNAcentral describes it as "bacterial SSU rRNA". It matches the Rfam family "Bacterial small subunit ribosomal RNA", at positions 355 to 774 of the family's 1533-position model. The record is from RNAcentral.
UGGGGAAUUUUGGACAAUGGGCGCAAGCCUGAUCCAGCCAUGCCGCGUGCGGGAAGAAGGCCUUCGGGUUGUAAACCGCUUUUGUCAGGGAAGAAAUCCUUUGAGCUAAUACCUCGGGGGGAUGACGGUACCUGAAGAAUAAGCACCGGCUAACUACGUGCCAGCAGCCGCGGUAAUACGUAGGGUGCAAGCGUUAAUCGGAAUUACUGGGCGUAAAGCGUGCGCAGGCGGUUAUGCAAGACAGAGGUGAAAUCCCCGGGCUCAACCUGGGAACUGCAUUUGUGACUGCAUAGCUGGAGUGCAGCAGAGGGGGAUGGAAUUCCGCGUGUAGCAGUGAAAUGCGUCAAUAUGCGGAGGAACACCGAUGGCGAAGGCAAUCCCCUGGGCCUGCACUGACGCUCAUGCACGAAAGCGUGGGGAGCAAACA